Molecule: ribosomal RNA, 1009 nt
Filed under: Rodentibacter ratti
Lineage: Bacteria; Pseudomonadati; Pseudomonadota; Gammaproteobacteria; Pasteurellales; Pasteurellaceae
Description: bacterial LSU rRNA
Rfam family: Bacterial large subunit ribosomal RNA
Source: RNAcentral
GUUGUAUAGUUAAGUGACUAAGCGUACAAGGUGGAUGCCUUGGCAAUCAGAGGCGAAGAAGGACGUGCUAAUCUGCGAAAAGCUUGGAUGAGUUGAUAAGAAGCGUUUAAUCCAAGAUAUCCGAAUGGGGAAACCCGAUGGAUGAAGAAUCCAUCAUUUCAUUAUGAAUCCAUAGUAAUGAAAGGCAAACCGGGAGAACUGAAACAUCUAAGUACCCCGAGGAAAAGAAAUCAACCGAGAUUCCGUCAGUAGCGGCGAGCGAAAGCGGAGGAGCCAUCAAAUGUUAUCUCAACGAUUAAGAGAAUCAACUGGGAAGUUGAAUCAUAGAGGGUGAUAGUCCCGUAUCUGAAAAUAGUUGGGAAGGACUAAGUUUGAGAGAAGUAGGGCGGGACACGUGAUAUCCUGUCUGAAGAUGGGGGGACCAUCCUCCAAGGCUAAAUACUCCUGAUUGACCGAUAGUGAACCAGUACUGUGAAGGAAAGGCGAAAAGAACCCCGGUGAGGGGAGUGAAAUAGAACCUGAAACCUUGUACGUACAAGCAGUGGGAGCCGCAAGGUGACUGCGUACCUUUUGUAUAAUGGGUCAGCGACUUAUAUUUUGUAGCGAGGUUAACCGAAUAGGGGAGCCGAAGGGAAACCGAGUCUUAACUGGGCGUUUAGUUGCAAGGUAUAGACCCGAAACCCGGUGAUCUAGCCAUGGGCAGGUUGAAGGUUGGGUAACACUAACUGGAGGACCGAACCGACUAAUGUUGAAAAAUUAGCGGAUGACUUGUGGCUGGGGGUGAAAGGCCAAUCAAACCGGGAGAUAGCUGGUUCUCCCCGAAAUCUAUUUAGGUAGAGCCUUGAGCGGACACCUUUGGGGGUAGAGCACUGUUUCGGCUAGGGGGCCAUCCCGGCUUACCAACCCGAUGCAAACUACGAAUACCAAAGAGUGAUACUCAGGAGACACACGGCGGGUGCUAACGUCCGUCGUGGAGAGGGAAACAACCCAGACCGCCAGCUAAGGUCCC